GUAACAGCGCAAAAUGGCUGUCUAGACAGAAUAGUUAACUAGGCCUUAACAUUUCUCUUAACCCUGAACAUUCUACCUAGGCCUUAACAGUAUUGAAGUUUCUAAUUAAGCUAAACACACCUUGUCUUUAAAGACUCAGGUUCCUGGGUGUGGGCUAAAAGGGAGAAAAUACUGAGCAUCGAUACUUACAGAGCUUUUGUUGUGAUCAAACUUGGAAACAAACCAGAUGUCCAGUGAUGGGCAAAGGAAUAAACGGUCACACGGUUGCAUGAUUAUUGUUCUGCAUAAUUGCUGUUUCCAGUCUAACACCAGAUGAAGAGUAAUGCAUUGUUAGUGGUGAUGAAAUGAGACUCAGUCUUCUGCAAGGGUUACAUGAGGCAUGGUAACUUUAGAAGAGGAAAAAUAUGCAUCCGUCUCCCAGGAACUACAUUUCCAGUUAUCUCUGGAAAGAAGGUCAGCCUUUGUAACUGUGAAGCAGCCUCCAUUACUACUGAUGUUAAAUCCUUCAAGUCUUGGAGGACAAUCCUAUGUUGGGUAGUCCAGGCAUUUAAUAUCUGUUUCAGGUGAGGUGAGUACAUUUCAUAAGUUAUUAUUGAUUCUUUAAAAUGUUUAAGCUCUUAUAUUUUAAUGGGAUUCCAGAAUUGUCAUUCAUUUUUUGAAUCUUCACCAUUUUAAUUUGCUGCUAGAUAACUGUGAAAGAUAGUUGGGGUGGCAGUAUUUUCUUAGUGUUUAAGAGAUGUCUCUGUAGGUUCAAUGGGUUGUCUAUCUUGAUCCUUAAUUUCAUUAGGUACUUUGUCUCUGGUCUCUAAAACUUUGAAUUAUCAUAGCAAUUUUUUCUUUUUGUACAGCUACUUUUCAACAUCUCUGAGAGGAAGUAUAUGAAGACUGUACUCGAAAGGGUGUGUGUGUGUAUGGUGUGUGUGUAUGUGGUGUGUGUGUGUAUGUGUGUGUGUGUGUGCGCGUGUGCGUGCGCGCAUGUGUGUGUGUGUGUGUGUGUGUGUGUGUGUGUGUGUUGGGUGUUUACUCCAUAUACCUUGACUUUCUAACCUUGGCAGAUCUGAAUAGCUCCUGUGAUUUUUAUCUUUAAAAAAAGCACCUCCUUCUGCAGGGCAAUUUGGACUAGCAAUCAUAAUAAAUUUUACCAAUUUCAAUCCAAAUUGAGGUUGAUGGUCUUUUCUUUGUGACCUGGAAUUCCAAUGAUCUUUUUCUGAUGAUCUUGAACUCCUUAAUAAUAAAAAGGGAGUGUAUCUUCAUGGAAUGGGGGUGAUGAAGAUAAUGGAGGAGGGAGGGAAAAGCAUAUCAUAAUAAAUUCUGUGAAAAAUCUGUUUUCAAUAUAGGAAGACAUACACUGUCCUGAAUAUAGUCCUGAAACACACACACACACACACACACACACACACACACACACACACCCCAUAUAUUACAGUGCUUAGUAAAAUAGACUGAACUUUGCAAAGAAGCAACAGGAAUAUUUCAAAUGGUUUGGAGGGAGGAAAGGAAAGGGAAACUAUAUUUUGUAACCUAAAAGAAAGAAAAGUAAAAAUCAAUAAAUCAUAAAGCAAAAUA
Non-coding RNA from Rattus norvegicus (Norway rat), 1566 nucleotides. The record is from RefSeq and is a predicted model, not a curated record. NCBI's taxonomy places the organism in Eukaryota, Metazoa, Chordata, Mammalia, Rodentia, Muridae.